CAAGCACAGGGCCCUGGCAGGGAAGGCAUCAGAACUGAGGCCUGGUUUGGGGUCAUUGUGGGUGAAUUCACCUGUGAAUACUGUGCUCCCAAAUUCCACCUCACUUGUUAGAGGACAGCAGAGGAGGCUUCUGUCUGGAGUCCCUGAAAAUAUCUCAUCUGGGGCACUUAUCUUGCAAGAUGAUGGUUGUAUCAGUUUCCUGGGGCUGCCAUGACAAAUGGCCACAAACUGGGUGACUUCAGGCAACAGAAAUGUAUCAUCUCAUGGCUCUGGAGGCCCGAAGUCCAAAACCAAGGUGUGGGCAGUGCUGGUGUUUCUGCGGCUGUGUGGGAAGGUCUGUCUCAGGCCUCUACCCUGGUGCUGGCAAUCCUUGGCUUGUAGGCAUGUCACCUCGAUCUCUGUCUGUCCCCACCCAGCCCUCUUCCCCCUGCCUCUGUGUUCUCCUCCUCUAGAGGGACACAGUGUUCGGAUUUAGGGCUCACCCUAAUCUAAUAGGACUCCAUCUAACUUACGUCUUCAAAGGCCCUAUUUCCAAGUAAGGUCCCACUCACAGGUGCCAGGGGCUAGGACUUCAGUGUCUCCUGGGGGACAUUACUCGUGACACUUGUCCCCUUCAGGGUCUGCCCUGCCUUCUCUCCCUGCAGCCAGGAUGAAAGCUGGAGCCUCUGCACGGUCCAAGCAGGGAGGCGAUGGCUCGCGUCACAGUCCAAGCAGCCAGGCGACGGUCCUGGCUGACGGGCUCUGGACACAACGAGAAGUUGGCGUCUACACCCGGAAGAGGGCCCUCAUCAGGCCCCAACACGCCGGCACCCUCAUCUCAGACCUGUGGCCUCCAAAACAGUGAGAAAUCAACCCUGCUGUUGAUCAGCCACGCGUCUAUGGCAGCCAAACAGACUCAGGCAGGGUCUGGGGCCUGGGGGUGGGUUUAAUGUUUAUUUAUUGAUUUAUUUAUUUUUAAUUUUUUUUUGAGACAGGUCUCAUUCUAUUGCCCAGGCUGAGUGCAGUGGUGCAGUCACAGCUCACUACAGCCUUGAAUUCCUGGGCUCAAGCAAUCCUCCCACCUCAGCCUCCCAAGUAGCUGGGACCACAGGUGCACACCACCACACCUGGCUAUUUUUCUUUUGCAGAGAUGGGGUUUCCUUAUGUCUCCUGGGCUGGUGUUGAAGUCCUGAGCUCAAGAAAUCCUCCCAUCUCAACCUCCCAAAGUGCUGGGCAGUGCCCAGCUGAGCGGGUGGGUCCACUGGAUGAGACCACAGGGACUACCACCUGCCUCGGUCCCAGGAGGGCCCGGAGGACACAGCCAUAGUGGAGCGGCCAGCAUGGUGCUAGCACAAAGCAGAGCUGCUGAGAAGCUCCUGGAGAGCUGAGCUGCGUGGACGAUGUUAGCAGGAGGAAGUGCUGCCCCGGGUCCUGCCAUGGGAGCCGUGUGGCUGCGCCAACCGCUGGAGGCAAGGGUCUUUGAAGAUGCAGUUAAGACAAGGCCGCACUGAAGUAGGGUGGACCCUAAAUCCGACGGCAGGUGCCUGAGAAGAAGAGGAGAGACAGAGACAGCAGAAUGACUCAGAGACGGAGGCAGAGACUGGGGCAGUGCACCUGCCAGGCCAGGAGGGCCAGAGGUUCCUGGCAACUCCAGAAGCAGGAGGGAGGCCGGGGGAGGGUCCUCCCUGGAGCUGCCAGAGGGAACCAGCCCUGCAGCGUCUUGAUUUUGGACAUUCGGCUCCAGAGAGAACAGAUUCUGUCACUCUAAGGCACCUGGUUUGUGGUACUUUGUUUAGGCAGCGGAGACCCCCAGCCCCAAAUAAACUCCCAGCACCCAAGU
RNAcentral lists this long non-coding RNA (1819 nucleotides) under Homo sapiens (human). RNAcentral's name for it is "HSALNT0000533". Lineage: Eukaryota; Metazoa; Chordata; Mammalia; Primates; Hominidae. The record is from RNAcentral.